UCCUCGAUAGCUCAAGUGGUGGAGCAGCUGACUGUUAAUCAGACGGUUCCAGGUUCGAGUCCUGGUCGAGGAGCCA
Molecule: transfer RNA, 76 nt
Filed under: Blastochloris sp.
Lineage: Bacteria; Pseudomonadati; Pseudomonadota; Alphaproteobacteria; Hyphomicrobiales; Blastochloridaceae
Description: tRNA-Asn
Rfam family: tRNA
About the family: Transfer RNA (tRNA) molecules are approximately 80 nucleotides in length. Their secondary structure includes four short double-helical elements and three loops (D, anti-codon, and T loops).
Source: RNAcentral